RNAcentral lists this long non-coding RNA (908 nucleotides) under Nannospalax galili (Upper Galilee mountains blind mole rat). Its description in RNAcentral is "lncRNA (ENSNGAG00000024487.1)". The record is from RNAcentral. Lineage: Eukaryota; Metazoa; Chordata; Mammalia; Rodentia; Spalacidae.
GCCGACAGUGAGACCUGGACACUGUUCUAGGUAUUCAGGUGCUCAUGAUACCUUGAUGUAUAUGGCCCUUGUAUACUGGUGGCAGAAGCCUUUGCCCAUAAUGGUCCUUGAAUUCUGGCUCUUGUUUACUCAUUGCCACAGAAAACAACUUUUUAAAAAGUGCUUUGCCUUUAUUUUUGGUAGAUGACAAUGAAGGAGACAAAAAGAAAAAAGAUAAGAAGAAAAAGAAAGCAGAAAAAGAUGAAAAAGAGAAAGAGAAGAAAAAAGGACCUAGCAAAGCCACUGUUAAAGCUAUGCAAGAAGCUCUGGCUAAGCUUAAAGAGGAGGAGAAGAGACAGAAGAGAGAAGAGGAGGAACGCAUAAAACGACUUGAAGAACUAGAGGCCAAGCGUAAAGAAGAGGAACGAUUAGAACAAGAAAAAAGAGAAAGGAAAAAGCAAAAAGAGAAAGAAAGAAAAGAACGCUUAAAAAAAGAAGGGAAACUUUUAACUAAAUCCCAGAGAGAAGCCAGAGCCAGAGCUGAAGCUACGCUUAAACUUCUUCAAGCUCAGGGUAAGUGAGAUCUUAAUUAGCUGUACUACUUGGGAGCUUCUCUCAUGCAGUUUUAUCUCUGGUCACAGAGCAUUAGUUCAGGGGAGUGGAAUUGUAUGCUAGGACAGAAAUUUAUGUGCAAAUGAUAGAAUUUCUAUAAAAUCUGCCCUCCCGUCAACAAAAAUAUAAAUGAUAACAAAAUGAGACUAAUCAACCAGUUUUUCAGUAAUUACCAAUAUUUUCCAAUCUUGCUGUAUACCCCUCUGCCAACUGUUUUUCUGGGAUAUGUUAAAGUGAAUUACAGACAUGUGCUUUUUAUUUUUAUCUCCUGGAUACUCAUGUAACUAGCAAAUAAGAGCAUUUUGCUUUUUAGCAUA